Long non-coding RNA from Hypanus sabinus (Atlantic stingray), 300 nucleotides. RefSeq lists it as uncharacterized. Lineage: Eukaryota; Metazoa; Chordata; Chondrichthyes; Myliobatiformes; Dasyatidae. The record is from RefSeq and is a predicted model, not a curated record. The transcript has 3 exons.
CCCGUGACUGGCUGGAAUUCCUCCUGGUGCUUUGGCUUCCUCCUACAGUCCAAAGAUGCACCGGUUGAUUCGAGGAAAUCUGCAGGUGCUGGAAAUUCAAACAAUGCACACAAAAUGACAGUGGAAUGCAGCAGGCCAAGCAGCAUCUAGAGGAGGAAGCACUGUCGACAUUUCAGACCGAGACCCUUCGUCAGGACUAACUGAAAGGAAAGAUGGCAUUCACAGUAAAGACAAGAAACACAAUGGAGUCAAUGAAAGACCACUCCAACAGGGCAGAUAAACAAACAAUGAGCAAAAGAC